RNAcentral lists this ribosomal RNA (397 nucleotides) under uncultured bacterium. Its description in RNAcentral is "partial 16S ribosomal RNA". It matches the Rfam family "Bacterial small subunit ribosomal RNA", at positions 523 to 918 of the family's 1533-position model. The record is from RNAcentral.
AUACGUAGGGGGCGAGCGUUGUCCGGAAUGACUGGGCGUAAAGGGCGUGUAGGCGGCUGUCUAAGUCUGGAGUGAAAGUCCUGCUUUCAAGGUGGGAAUUGCUUUGGAGACUGGAUGGCUUGAGUGCGGAAGAGGUGAGUGGAAUUCCCAGUGUAGCGGUGAAAUGCGUGGAGAUUGGGAGGAACACCAGUGGCGAAGGCGACUUACUGGGCCGUAACUGACGCUGAGGCGCGAAAGCGUGGGGAGCGAACAGGAUUAGAUACCCUGGUAGUCCACGCGGUAAACGAUGAAUGCCAGGUGUUGCGGGUAUCGACCCCUGCAGUGCCGGAGUAAACACAAUAAGCAUUCCGCCUGGGGAGUACGGCCGCAAGGUUGAAACUCAAAUGAAUUGACGGGG